UUGAGCGGCCCAGGAGAACCGCUUCCAGUGCGGCGCGGCUGCUGGGUCCCCGGAGGAGCGAGCCUUCUCCGCCGCUUUGGAGAGCGGCGGGCUUAGCCCUUAUGGAACGCUUCUAGAAUCCAGAAAGCUCCAUUGUACUCCAUGCAAAACCCAAGCGUCGCCCAAUUGAUUCUAUGCAAAAUGGAAAUGGGAGACGGCGCCUCCAGCGAGGCGUUAGAAGCCUGCGGGGAUGGAAAAGCCAAGGAGGGAGGGAGAGAUUGCUGCCCGAAGAAUUUGCCUUGGCUGAGGCUUAGGGAUCGAUACACUGCCUGCAGACCCGGAGCAGCCUCCAUCUCCCCCAACCCCCAGCCGAGGUGGAGUUCGCAGGAAGGUCAUGCAGCCGUCCAGGUCUCCCGCACCGUUACUUUGGAGCUAUGGCCUUAGCUAUUUGAGACUGAUCUUGAACUUACGCAG
Molecule: long non-coding RNA, 453 nt
Filed under: Mus musculus (house mouse)
Lineage: Eukaryota; Metazoa; Chordata; Mammalia; Rodentia; Muridae
Description: predicted gene, 39326
Source: RNAcentral